UGGGGAAUCUUGCGCAAUGGGCGAAAGCCUGACGCAGCGACGCCGCGUGAGGGAAGAAGGCCUUCGGGUUGUAAACCUCUUUCAGGAGGGACGAAGCUACUCGGGUGAAUAGCCCAGAGGGUGACGGUACCUCCAGAAGAAGCCCCGGCUAACUACGUGCCAGCAGCCGCGGUAAUACGUAGGGGGCAAGCGUUGUCCGGAUUUACUGGGCGUAAAGAGCGUGUAGGCGGCCAAACAGGUCCGUUGUGAAAACUGGAGGCUCAACCUCCAGACGUCGACGGAAACCGUAUGGCUAGAGUCCGGAAGAGGAGAGUGGAAUUCCUGGUGUAGCGGUGAAAUGCGCAGAUAUCAGGAAGAACACCUAUGGCGAAGGCAGCUCUCUGGGACGGUACUGACGCUGAGACGCGAAAGCGUGGGGAGCGAACAGG
Molecule: ribosomal RNA, 428 nt
Filed under: Bacillota bacterium
Lineage: Bacteria; Bacillati; Bacillota
Description: Firmicutes bacterium partial 16S ribosomal RNA
Rfam family: Bacterial small subunit ribosomal RNA
Source: RNAcentral